UACGAAGGGAGCUAGCGUUGUUCGGAAUCACUGGGCGUAAAGCGCACGUAGGCGGAUGUGUCAGUCAGGGGUGAAAUCCCGGAGCUCAACUUCGGAACUGCCUUUGAUACAGCACGUCUUGAGUCCGAUAGAGGUGGGUGGAAUUCCUAGUGUAGAGGUGAAAUUCGUAGAUAUUAGGAAGAACACCGGUGGCGAAGGCGGCCCACUGGGCAGGAAGGCUCGCAAGAGCCGGCUGACACUGAGGCGCGACAGCGUGGGGAGCAAACAGG
Molecule: ribosomal RNA, 269 nt
Filed under: uncultured bacterium
Lineage: Bacteria
Description: partial 16S ribosomal RNA
Rfam family: Bacterial small subunit ribosomal RNA
Source: RNAcentral